This 724-nucleotide long non-coding RNA is filed under the name Rattus norvegicus (Norway rat). RNAcentral's name for it is "long non-coding RNA NONRATT026642". Lineage: Eukaryota; Metazoa; Chordata; Mammalia; Rodentia; Muridae. The record is from RNAcentral.
CCUGCUAAUUUCCUUAGCCCACGAUUCCAAUUCCCCAGGCCAGACCCCCAACUCCCUCAGCCCGAACCCCAACUCCCUCAGCCCGACCGCCAACUCCCUCAGCCCAAACCCCAACUCCCUCUGCCGGACCACCAAUUCCCUCAGCCCGAACCCCAACUGCCCCGGCCGGACCCCCAACUCCCUAGGCCAGACCCCCAACUUCCCCAGGCUGGACCACCAACUCCCUCAGCCCGACCCCCAACUUCCUCAGCCCGACCCCGAACUUCCCCAGGCCGGACCCCCAACUCCCUCGGCCCGACCCCCAACUCCCUUGGCCUGACCUCCACUCCCCUCAAUCCCUGCCUGCUCCCCACCGGCCAAGGUUGGUGACCCGCCUGCCCUCGGCGAGGCGGUCUGGCCUGACACUGCUGUGGCGCCUUCCUCCCUGGCCAGGACUCAUCCUCUUCCUGAGGCCCAGGCUGACACUGGCUCUCACUACAGCGUCUCCUUACUUCAGCUGCUCCGGUGAGCAGUCGACUGCUCCGACUUCUCCGCAGCCUCGAAGCAUCUGACGAAGCCUAGCCUUUGGGCGGGAGAAAAUAAAGCCUGGCCCUGGCCAAGCUCCCUGCUGAUUGGUUGAAUGCUAUGGGUACAUACGCUUACGUAGUAGCUCCGCCCCAUAGCACGUGCUCUGUGCCUGCUCUCACGUGGUAGCCAACGGCAGGGACACGGUGGGCGGGGGACU